This 94-nucleotide transfer RNA is filed under the name Candidatus Uhrbacteria bacterium CG10_big_fil_rev_8_21_14_0_10_48_11. RNAcentral's name for it is "tRNA-Ser". It matches the Rfam family "tRNA". From Rfam's summary of the family: Transfer RNA (tRNA) molecules are approximately 80 nucleotides in length. Their secondary structure includes four short double-helical elements and three loops (D, anti-codon, and T loops). Further hydrogen bonds mediate the characteristic L-shaped molecular structure. tRNAs have two regions of fundamental functional importance: the anti-codon, which is responsible for specific mRNA codon recognition, and the 3' end, to which the tRNAs corresponding amino acid is attached (by aminoacyl-tRNA synthetases). tRNAs cope with the degeneracy of the genetic code in two manners: having more than one tRNA (with a specific anti-codon) for a particular amino acid; and 'wobble' base-pairing, i.e. permitting non-standard base-pairing at the 3rd anti-codon position. The record is from RNAcentral. Lineage: Bacteria; Candidatus Uhriibacteriota.
GGAAGGGUGGCUGAGUGGUCUAAGGCGACGGUUUGCUAAACCGUUGUAUGGUGUUUACGCCGUACCGAGGGUUCGAAUCCCUCCCCUUCCGCCA